RNAcentral lists this ribosomal RNA (244 nucleotides) under uncultured bacterium. RNAcentral describes it as "partial 16S ribosomal RNA". It matches the Rfam family "Bacterial small subunit ribosomal RNA", at positions 524 to 768 of the family's 1533-position model. The record is from RNAcentral.
UACGGGGGGGCAAGCGUUGUUCGGAAUUACUGGGCGUAAAGGGCUCGUAGGCGGCCAACUAAGUCAGACGUGAAAUCCCUCGGCUUAACCGGGGAACUGCGUCUGAUACUGGAUGGCUUGAGUGUGGGAGAGGAAUGCGGAAUUCCAGGUGUAGCGGUGAAAUGCGUAGAUAUCUGGAGGAACACCGGUGGCGAAGGCGGCAUUCUGGACCAUUACUGACGCUGAGGAGCGAAAGCCAGGGGAG